Molecule: ribosomal RNA, 274 nt
Filed under: uncultured bacterium
Lineage: Bacteria
Description: partial 16S ribosomal RNA
Rfam family: Bacterial small subunit ribosomal RNA
Source: RNAcentral
AUACGGAGGGUGCGAGCGUUAAUCGGAAUUACUGGGCGUAAAGCGUACGUAGGCGGUUGGUUAAGUUAGAUGUGAAAGCCCCGGGCUUAACCUGGGAACUGCAUUUAAAACUGGCGAACUAGAGUUGAGUAGAGGAGAGUGGAAUUUCAGGUGUAGCGGUGAAAUGCGUAGAGAUCUGAAGGAACACCAGUGGCGAAGGCGACUCCCUGGACUCGAACUGACGCUGAGGUACGAAAGCGUGGGUAGCGAACAGGAUUAGAUACCCUAGUAGUCC